UACAGAGGAGCCAAGCGUUGUCCGGAUUGACUGGGCGUAAAGCGCACGCAGGCGGUCGCGCGCGUGGGGUGUGAAAUCUGGCCGCUUAACGGCCAGGCGCCAUCCCAUACGGCGCGUCUGGAGUGAUGCAGAGGUCGAUGGAAUUGCCGGUGUAGUGGUGAAAUGCGUAGAGAUCGGCAGGAACACCCAGGGGGAAACCAGUCGACUGGGCAUCUACUGACGCUGAGGUGCGAGAGCGUGGGGAGCGAACCGG
This 253-nucleotide ribosomal RNA is filed under the name uncultured bacterium. RNAcentral describes it as "partial 16S ribosomal RNA". It matches the Rfam family "Bacterial small subunit ribosomal RNA", at positions 524 to 776 of the family's 1533-position model. The record is from RNAcentral.